Molecule: long non-coding RNA, 1160 nt
Organism: Oncorhynchus nerka (sockeye salmon)
Lineage: Eukaryota; Metazoa; Chordata; Actinopteri; Salmoniformes; Salmonidae
Exons: 3
Source: RefSeq, a predicted model, not a curated record
GGAGUGUGAUGCAAGGAGAUGAGUGUUUGGCUGAGGAGAAAUUUGUCCACGUACUCUCCACUGCUCCUCUCUUCUUUUCUACUGAUCUGUUCUUCCUUAACCUCCCUCCCUCCUCCUUCCCCAUCCAGCUGCUGGCUGAGCUCCCUCUGUUCCUCUCAUCUCUCAGUGCAAGGACCUGAGUUGACUGAGCCGUUUGAUUCAUGCAAGAGCUGAUUCACACCAUGCGAUCUGGGGAGUGAGAGUGGACAGGACAGGAUUCCCUCUCUCUACAUCCAUAAUUCAGCGUUCACGCCUUCCUCCUACUCCUGUUAUCCUCUUUGCCUUCUUCUUAUUCCUACUGCUGCUGCUAAUGCCGUACGCUGCAGCUACUGAUGCUGUUGUAGGUUACACUCCUGUUCCAGCACAGCCUUCCUGUGGUAAUAAUUCAUCAAGCCAGAGCUCCGGAGUCUCAACUUAAAGUACAAAGACCAUAGGAGAUGGAAGAGGACUGACCAGUGGGAGACCAAGGGCAGACGCCUCCAUUGAUCUAUGUGAGGAGGGUCUACGGUGCCAAACAACAAGGUGACAACAAUCUGUGGUGCCAUCAACUUCAUGGCCCAUGUGCCAUCAAGCAACUCUAUCAACUCCAUCCCGGGGGCCGUGAUCUGACGGUGGUGUCACCAUAUGAGAUGAACCUCAGCCUCUGCGGAAGAGGAACCUCUGCAUACAUUCUAUCGUCAUUUCCUCGCUGCCUUUGAGUGGGUUUCUCUGUUCCCCAGCUGCCUGUGGUUGAGGCCUCUUCCUGUCUUUUUGCCGCUUCUUCUUGAUCUUCCUUGUCUCAGUGUUACCAGUUCUCUCUGGAGACUGGAGGAGUCAUCAAGUCAUAUUAACUAGGCUCAUUCACAACAGCAGUAAUUCUAACGUCCGGAUGAGAUGUCAACUGUGGUGAAUGUUUAUCUUCGAUUGAAAAUGUUGUUUGGUUGUUUCCUUGUUUAUGGAAAUGCAGCUAUUUGAAUAUUGUAAUUUCAUUGGUAAUUACUUGGCUUCAUUGUGAGUUAAUUGCACUUCCUUAAUAUGCCAAUGAUAGACCAUCAAACUGGCGGAGCUAAAACUUUAAUGUUUAUAUGUUGUUUAUGAGUUAUCCUUAUCAAUUAAACAUAUUGUUUUUGUUCCAUCAGCAA